GCCAGCAGCCAUAUCACCCUGCAACUCACAACUGGCAACCCACUGAAGCUAAGCAGGUCUGAGCCUGGUCAGUACCUGGAUGGGAGACCUCCUGGUAAAAAAAAAACUAAGGUUGCUGCUGGAA
RNAcentral lists this ribosomal RNA (124 nucleotides) under Lepisosteus oculatus (spotted gar). The record is from RNAcentral. Lineage: Eukaryota; Metazoa; Chordata; Actinopteri; Semionotiformes; Lepisosteidae.